AGCGCGCACUGAUUGCGCCUUUUUGUCCGCGCGGCCGGGCCUCGCGUCAAAUCGGCGCGCGCGCGCGCUCGCUCGACCACGGCGGGUUCACCCGUGCCGUCCCGUCACCCCGGUUCGUUGGCCGUCCCGCUCCCGUCCAUCCAUCAUUGUCCAUGGAUCAUUACGCUGCACGCACCACCCUACGUAUCAUCCUACACGCCACGCCAUCGCCUGCCUACACGCACGCACCCCUCCAGCUCGAGGGCAGGGACGACGCCGGCCGCCACCUCCGCUUCUUCCACCCAUCCCGUCAAACGCAGCAUCCUCGCCGUUAUCAUUCUCCUCCCCUCCUCCUCCUCCCCUGUCUCGUCCAUCACCCGUUCCUAGCAGUAGCAGCUAGCCACCUUUUCUCAGGUCAGCCAGGAGGAGGCAUGGGCGGCGGCGCGGUCAGGUGGGUCAAGAUCCUC
This 446-nucleotide long non-coding RNA is filed under the name Hordeum vulgare. RNAcentral describes it as "long non-coding RNA (HVUL_LNC006430)". The record is from RNAcentral. Lineage: Eukaryota; Viridiplantae; Streptophyta; Magnoliopsida; Poales; Poaceae.